GACGAACGCUGGCGGCGUGCUUAACACAUGCAAGUCGAACGGAAAGGCCCUGCUUUUGUGGGGUGCUCGAGUGGCGAACGGGUGAGUAACACGUGAGUAACCUGCCCUUGACUUUGGGAUAACUUCAGGAAACUGGGGCUAAUACCGGAUAGGAGCUCCUGCUGCAUGGUGGGGGUUGGAAAGUUUCGGCGGUUGGGGAUGGACUCGCGGCUUAUCAGCUUGUUGGUGGGGUAGUGGCUUACCAAGGCAUUGACGGGUAGCCGGCCUGAGAGGGUGACCGGCCACCUUGGGACUGCGAUACGGCCCAGACUCCUACGGGAGGCAGCAGUGGGGAAUAUUGCACAAUGGGCGGAAGCCUGAUGCAGCAACGCCGCGUGCGGGAUGACGGCCUUCGGGUUGUAAACCGCUUUCGCCUGUGACGAAGCGUGAGUGACGGUAAUGGGUAAAGAAGCACCGGCUAACUACGUG
Molecule: ribosomal RNA, 468 nt
Filed under: uncultured bacterium
Lineage: Bacteria
Description: partial 16S ribosomal RNA
Rfam family: Bacterial small subunit ribosomal RNA
Source: RNAcentral